This 253-nucleotide ribosomal RNA is filed under the name uncultured bacterium. RNAcentral describes it as "partial 16S ribosomal RNA". It matches the Rfam family "Bacterial small subunit ribosomal RNA", at positions 524 to 776 of the family's 1533-position model. The record is from RNAcentral.
UACAGAGGUCUCAAGCGUUGUUCGGAUUCACUGGGCGUAAAGCGCACGUAGGCGGACUCUUAAGUCGGCGGUGAAAUCCUGGAGCUCAACUCCAGAACUGCCUUCGAUACUGAGAGUCUCGAGUCCGGGAGAGGUGAGUGGAACUGCGAGUGUAGAGGUGAAAUUCGUAGAUAUUCGCAAGAACACCAGUGGCGAAGGCGGCUCACUGGCCCGGUACUGACGCUGAGGUGCGAAAGCGUGGGGAGCAAACAGG